This is a long non-coding RNA of Oncorhynchus masou masou (cherry salmon), 926 nucleotides long. RefSeq lists it as uncharacterized. Lineage: Eukaryota; Metazoa; Chordata; Actinopteri; Salmoniformes; Salmonidae. The transcript has 2 exons. The record is from RefSeq and is a predicted model, not a curated record.
UUGCUACUAUGAGUUCAGAUUCGGUAAUAUUGUUGCAGACGGUGACAUUUUCUGCUGAAAACCACCAAGAUCAACGGACUAAAGACCCCAAAGAAACCAACUAUCCAAUAGGUGUGGACCAAAGACUCAAAAGAAAGGAAAACAAACACAAAACACAAAGGAGAGGACGAAAGAGGUGUCCGGUGGAUGGCUGUCAAGUCACCGUCAUUCACCUACCUCGUCACCUGCGGCAGGUCCAUGAGUGAGGCAGUGAGGAGGCCCAGUCUGCAGUCAACACAUUCGGUCUCGGAGCACCAAGCAGACAUGGUGACAGCAGCAGCAAGGCUAAAAUCAACCAUCACUCCAGGCCUUGCCCCAUGACAGGCUGUCAUGAAGUGGUCAAAAGACUGCCAGCCCACCUGAGAAAGCAACACAAGCUUGAAAAUAACUCUCCUCUAUACAGAGAGCUUCUUACAGCAUCACAGAAGAGAAGGUCAAAUGUCAAUGAAUGAAUUUUAUGAUGUUUACUGUGAAUAAUUAUUCUAGCUGAUGUAUUGAAGUUGAAUGAGAAAUAUGUAAUUGAAUUGGGACAUGAUUGAACAAGACAAUAUUUGGGAAAGGAAUAAAGAAUGCGCUUGAACUGCCACACAGCUCGACUAACUUCGAUGUCCGUUUUCCUUUAUCUACAGCAGGCCGACUCAGACACCCUUUCUGAAGCUUGUAACAGAUACAGCAUAGAAAGACCAGCAUCAAUUCAUAUCCGAAGUGGUCACAUUCAUUUGAUUGAGAAUCAUACUUAGGUAGCCUGGGUUUCACUGUGUGUUUGUGGGUGAUUGUUCCUGUCUCUGUGUUUGCACCAGAUAGGGCUGUUUUGGGUUUUCACAUUUCUUGUUUUGUUAGUUUAUUCAUGUAUAGUGUCUUUAUUAAAGUACCAUUAAUAACCACCA